GACGAACGCUGGCGGCGUGCUUAGCACAUGCAAGUCGAGCGGUAAGGCUCCUUCGGGAGUCCACGAGCGGCGAACGGGUGAGUAACACGUGAGUAAUCUGCCCUUCACUUCGGGAUAACCACCGGAAACGGUGGCUAAUACCGAAUACGACCAGUCUUCGCAUGAGGUGCUGGUGGAAAGUCUUUUCGGUGAAGGAUGUGCUCGCGGCCUAUCAGCUUGUUGGUGGGGUAAUGGCCUACCAAGGCUUCGACGGGUAGCCGGCCUGAGAGGGUGACCGGCCACACUGGGACUGAGACACGGCCCAGACUCCUACGGGAGGCAGCAGUGGGGAAUAUUGGACAAUGGGCGAAAGCCUGAUCCAGCAACGCCGCGUGAGGGAUGACGGCCUUCGGGUUGUAAACCUCGUUCAGUACCGACGAAGCGCCCUGUCGGGUGGUGACGGUAGGUACAGAAGAAGGACCGGCCAACUACGUG
This 474-nucleotide ribosomal RNA is filed under the name uncultured bacterium. RNAcentral describes it as "partial 16S ribosomal RNA". It matches the Rfam family "Bacterial small subunit ribosomal RNA", at positions 28 to 507 of the family's 1533-position model. The record is from RNAcentral.